GGCUCGGUGGUGGAUGGUUCACGCUCACAACAAAUAAUCGAUGAGACACGGAUACUUGUGAGAGACGCCCGUUCGACUCGGGCCCGAGCCA
Non-coding RNA from Mycena alexandri, 91 nucleotides. NCBI's taxonomy places the organism in Eukaryota, Fungi, Basidiomycota, Agaricomycetes, Agaricales, Mycenaceae. The record is from the annotation of a GenBank genome assembly.